GUGCCAGCCGCCGCGGUAAUACGUAGGUGGCAAGCGUUAUCCGGAAUCAUUGGGCGUAAAGGGUGCGUAGGCGGCUUCUUAAGUUUGUAGUGAAAGCGUAGGGCUCAACUCUAUUAAGCUACAAAAACUGGGAGGCUAGAGUGAGGUAGAGGCAAGUGGAAUUCCAUGUGUAGCGGUAAAAUGCGUAGAUAUAUGGAGGAACACCGGUGGCGAAGGCGGCUUGCUGGGCCUUAACUGACGCUGAGGCACGAAAGCGUGGGGAGCAAAUAGGAUUAGAUACCCUAGUAGUCCACGCCGUAAACGAUGAAUACUAAGUGUUGGAGAAAUCCAGUGCUGCAGCUAACGCAAUAAGUAUUCCGCCUGGGGAGUAUGCACGCAAGUGUGAAACUCAAAGGAAUUGACGGGGACCCGCACAAGCGGUGGAUUAUGUGGUUUAAUUCGAUGCAACGCGAAGAACCUUGCCAAGCCUUGACAUCCCUGGCAAAGCUGUAGAGAUACAGUGGAGGUUAUCCGGGUGACAGGUGGUGCAUGGUUGUCGUCAGCUCGUGUCGUGAGAUGUUGGGUUAAGUCCCGCAACGAGCGCAACCCUUGUCUUUAGUUACCAUCAUUCAGUUGGGGACUCUAGAGAGACUGCCGGUGACAAACCGGAGGAAGGUGGGGAUGACGUCAAAUCAGCAUGCCCCUUACGGCUUGGGCUACACACGUAAUACAAUGGCGCAUACAAAGGGAAGCAAUCCCGCGAGGGGGAGCAAAUCUCAUAAAAUGCGUCUCAGUUCGGAUUAGAGUCUGCAACUCGACUCUAUGAAGUUGGAAUCGCUAGUAAUCGUGGAUCAGCACGCCACGGUGAAUACGUUCUCGGGUCUUGUACACACCGCCCGU
RNAcentral lists this ribosomal RNA (879 nucleotides) under uncultured bacterium. Its description in RNAcentral is "bacterial SSU rRNA". It matches the Rfam family "Bacterial small subunit ribosomal RNA", at positions 505 to 1397 of the family's 1533-position model. The record is from RNAcentral.